GACGAACGCUGGCGGCGUGCUUAACACAUGCAAGUCGAACGGAAAGGCCCUGCUUUUGUGGGGUGCUCGAGUGGCGAACGGGUGAGUAACACGUGAGUAACCUGCCCUUGACUUUGCGAUAACUUCAGGAAACUGGGGCUAAUACCGGAUAGGAGCUCCUGCUGCAUGGUGGGGGUUGGAAAGUUUCGGCGGUUGGGGAUGGACUCGCGGCUUAUCAGCUUGUUGGUGGGGUAGUGGCUUACCAAGGCUUUGACGGGUAGCCGGCCUGAGAGGGUGACCGGCCACAUUGGGACUGAGAUACGGCCCAGACUCCUACGGGAGGCAGCAGUGGGGAAUAUUGCACAAUGGGCGGAAGCCUGAUGCAGCAACGCCGCGUGCGGGAUGACGGCCUUCGGGUUGUAAACCGCUUUCGCCUGUGACGAAGCGUGAGUGACGGUAAUGGGUAAAGAAGCACCGGCUAAUUACGUG
This 468-nucleotide ribosomal RNA is filed under the name uncultured bacterium. RNAcentral's name for it is "partial 16S ribosomal RNA". It matches the Rfam family "Bacterial small subunit ribosomal RNA", at positions 28 to 507 of the family's 1533-position model. The record is from RNAcentral.